RNAcentral lists this unclassified non-coding RNA (196 nucleotides) under Conocybe apala. Its description in RNAcentral is "partial internal transcribed spacer 2". Lineage: Eukaryota; Fungi; Basidiomycota; Agaricomycetes; Agaricales; Bolbitiaceae. The record is from RNAcentral.
AAUUCUCAAUCUUUACAACUUUGUGUUGUCCAGAUUGGAUUUGGGGGUUUCAUUGUGCGGAAUUCAAUUCCUCACUCCCCUUAAAUGCAUUAGCUGGAAUGCCUCCGCAUAUCUGACUAUCAGUGUGAUAAUUAUCUAUACUGUAGUUGUUGCAUGAGGGUAUCUGCUUCAUCAAUCGUCGCAAGACAAAUGACCA